Molecule: ribosomal RNA, 646 nt
Filed under: uncultured Mortierella
Lineage: Eukaryota; Fungi; Mortierellomycota; Mortierellomycetes; Mortierellales; Mortierellaceae
Description: eukaryotic LSU rRNA
Rfam family: 5.8S ribosomal RNA (bases 180-333)
Source: RNAcentral
UUUCCGUAGGUGAACCUGCGGAAGGAUCAUUCAUAAUAAGUGUUUUAUGGCACUUUUUAAAUCCAUAUCCACCUUGUGUGCAAUGUCAGUCGAUCUUCUUCAUGGAGAUCGACCAAACAUCAACCUUUAUUUUUUAACUCUUUGUCUGAAAAAUAUUAUGAAUAAACAAUUCAAAAUACAACUUUCAACAACGGAUCUCUUGGCUCUCGCAUCGAUGAAGAACGCAGCGAAAUGCGAUACGUAAUGUGAAUUGCAGAAUUCAGUGAAUCAUCGAAUCUUUGAACGCAUAUUGCGCUCUUUGGUAUUCCGAAGAGCAUGCUUGUUUGAGUAUCAGUAAACACCUCAAAGCUUUUGGAUUUUUUAAUCGAAAAGCUUUGGACUUGAGCAAUCCCAACACCAAUCUUUUUGAGAUCGGUGGCGGGUUGCUUGAAAUGCAGGUGCAGCUGGACAUUCUCCUGAGCUAAAAGCAUAUUCAUUUAGUCCCGUCAAACGGAUUAUUACUUUUGCUGCAGCUAACAUAAAGGGAGUUUGACCGUAUUGGCUGACUGAUGCAGGAUUUCACAAGGGUCGGCAACGAUUCUUGUUAAACUCGAUCUCAAAUCAAGUAAGACUACCCGCUGAACUUAAGCAUAUCAAUAAGCGGAGG